RNAcentral lists this ribosomal RNA (229 nucleotides) under uncultured bacterium. Its description in RNAcentral is "partial 16S ribosomal RNA". It matches the Rfam family "Bacterial small subunit ribosomal RNA", at positions 92 to 339 of the family's 1533-position model. The record is from RNAcentral.
AGAGUGGCGCACGGGUGAGUAACGCGUGGGAACCUGCCUUUUUCUGCGGGAUAACGGUUGGAAACGACCGCUAAUACCCCAUAUGCCGAGAGGUGAAAUGAAUUUCGCCUGAGGAUGAGCUCGCGUCUGAUUAGCUAGUUGGUGGGGUAAGAGCCUACCAAGGCGACGAUCAGUAGCUGGUCUGAGAGGAUGAUCAGCCACACUGGGACUGAGAUACGGCCCAGACUCC